GAUGAACGCUGGCGGCGUGCUUAACACAUGCAAGUCGAACGAUGAAGCCCAGCUUGCUUGGUGUAUUAGUGGCGAACGGGUGAGUAACACGUGAGUAACCUGCCCUUAACUCUGUGAUAAGCCUUGGAAACUGUGUCUAAUACCGGAUAGAAGCGUCCACCGCACGGUGGGUGUUGGAGAGAUUUAUCGGUGUUGGAUGGACUCUCGGCCUAUCAGCUGGUUGGUGAGGUAAUGGCUCACCAAGGCGACGUCGGGUAGCCGGCCUGGGAGGGGGACCGGCAACACUGGGACUGGGAAACGGCCCAGACUCUUACGGGAGGAAGCAGGGGGGAAUAUUGAACAAGGGGGGAAAGCCGGAUGCAGAGACGCCGGGUGAGGGAUGACGGCCUUCGGGUUGUAAACCUCUUUCAGUAGGGAAGAAGCGAAAGUGACGGUACCUGCAGAAGAAGCACCGGCUAACUACGU
This 465-nucleotide ribosomal RNA is filed under the name uncultured bacterium. RNAcentral describes it as "partial 16S ribosomal RNA". It matches the Rfam family "Bacterial small subunit ribosomal RNA", at positions 28 to 506 of the family's 1533-position model. The record is from RNAcentral.